UCUCAUCUUCUCCUGGCUGCUCCGUCUUCAGCUCCACCGGGAGUUUCUUGCAGGAUGAGGAGCCCUUGAGGAGCUGCUCCUGAGCACCAGGCGGAGGGGUCCAGCGUUGGCAGAUGCCAGUUUACAUCAGAAUCUUUGUGAAGAACCAGCAGUUGAGGACAGAGCUGCUCCAGUGGGACCAUUCUCUGAGGUGAGACAGAGCUGAAGAUACCAGAUGCCUUAAACUUCACGAAAAUGGGGAUCAAAGUGGUAAAACAGGCUGAAACUGGGCCCAGAAGACAAACAGUCCAGUGCUACACCAUCUAAGCAUCUUCAGCUCCUCAUGCCAAAAAAAAAAACACCCCAAAAGGCAGGACGUGCAUCGGUACUUACGCUCUUGAUGCCUCUCCCUUGUAAAGUCAGGUGUGUCUGUCUCCAGCCGUGGCCGCCGUUUCGUCCCCAAAGAGCUGGUCCGUGGGCACCGUGUCUCCUUACGAAGACGUGGAGGGCAGCAGAAUGCAGCCCUGGCACCUUGUGCCUGAAGGACAGGCAGAGGUCACCCACCUCAGCCACGUGGCCCAAGGGCAGGAUAAGAUGCGCCGCUCGUCCUUCUUUGCCUUCGGGGUCGGGGAUGGUCAGAUACUGUCCCCCUGCAAAAGAAAAAGCAGAUAGGUUUGUUGGUUUGUUUUGGUUAUUUUUUAAAUUUUACCGUGUUACAAGACCAAAUGCACAGGAGAUGUUACAAAAAAAUCUAAAAAAGGGCUCCAAAGAAGGGAUAGAGCUGCUGGAACAUGAACCAGAACUGGUGCAUCUGCCUCCUGUAGGGUAAGACUCACUGCUUCUCCUCUCUGUACAUUACUACCACCUUAGGUCUUACCCAUCUAAUUAUUUUUUUUUUACAAAGCAAAUGUAAAUGCAAAUUACACGUAUUCCUUCAUUUCUGCCAAAUGGUGACUGCACGACUUUAACCCCCCAGUGAGGGUAAAGCACAAAGUUACCAUGUAAUUGAGCCACAGUUCUGUCUCUUUCCUUUUGAUUUAAACGUCAUUUAAACUCUUAAUAUGGAUUAGAUACAGAAAGCUGGAAACAGUAGUCAUUUCCAAAUGGCUGUUAACUUCAUACACUCCCUGAAGUCUUCCCUAACAGUAGUCAGUUGUCAGUGAACAUAAAUAAUACUUAUAUAAAAACCCUCUUAUUAUCUCUGAUCACGAAUGAAGCAAAUGUGCCUUCAUAAAAACAUCACCUAGAACACAAAAAGUAGAGGAUCUCGGGCAUGGCAACAUGUAUUAAACCUAGAAACAACAACAAAAAAAGGCAUAUACUUCCAUAAAUCCCAUGCAGCCUUUCACACGGGCACUCAAACCUACAAUAAGUGAGGCUUCAUAUUUGGAGAAAACCCACACCUGUAUUUUCUCUUUGUACUUUUCAUUAAAACUUUUGCAACUUUUUUUGGACAAAAAUUUUAAAAUUUGAAAUUCCCAAAGGCAGGAGGGUUGACUUUUAAAAACUAAAAAAAAUUCUCAUCUUACCCUGAACCUAAGAAUCUUUUUUUUUUAAAUGAGAUCAUAUUUUUUAAUUAUAUUUUUUUUAAUCAAAAAAUCCAAAAUCAAUGAACUUAAGGUAAAGGUGGCAUUUAACCUCCAGAGUUGAACCUGAUCACGUAGAAAUAUCAGGGAUUUGUAAUACUGUUGACAAACACAGUAUUUAAUUAUAGAAUAGAAAAUUGGUUUUCAUUUAAAUUGUCGGCACCGCUACUACUCAACCAGAGCUUUAGUUUUUGAAAGCCAGGUUUGAUGUCCCUCAAAAGCUGUGAGAUCUAAUGACAAUGCACCAGGGCUUGUCACACAGUUAAAAGGAAGGAUUCAGUGCUGCUACAGAGGUCUCCAUGAGCCUGAACAAAGCAAAGCAUUAUGCUGCUGCCCGGGGCCCCAGAUCCGCAUUUGGGCAUGAAGUGGGAUCCACUUGUCCAAGGAUCUGUUAAAGUUUUUUCAAGGUUUGAGGCUUUCUUGGUUUUGUUUCAUUUGUUGUUGUUUUCGUAAUGCAUUGUUUUUGCAUCAAGGCCACUAACUGCUAAAAUAAGCAUAAUAAAGUUUUAAAUAACUGCA
Calidris pugnax (ruff) is the source of this 2084-nucleotide long non-coding RNA. RefSeq lists it as uncharacterized. The record is from RefSeq and is a predicted model, not a curated record. The transcript has 4 exons. Lineage: Eukaryota; Metazoa; Chordata; Aves; Charadriiformes; Scolopacidae.